RNAcentral lists this microRNA precursor (117 nucleotides) under Glycine max (soybean). Its description in RNAcentral is "MIR1520 microRNA precursor family". Lineage: Eukaryota; Viridiplantae; Streptophyta; Magnoliopsida; Fabales; Fabaceae. The record is from Rfam by way of RNAcentral.
UUCUUAUCGAAUAAUAAUUAUCAUGUGUCAUGUUCUGAUCGGAUGUUAAUUUCAUAAAAGAUGAAAUGUAUUAUUUUUUCAUUGACCAAUCAAAUAAGUUACAGAAACUAAUUCUGA